UUGCUCCUUUGACGUUAGCGGCGGACGGGUGAGUAACACGUGGGUAACCUACCUAUAAGACUGGAAUAACUCCGGGAAACCGGGGCUAAUGCCGGAUAACAUUUAGAACCGCAUGGUUCUAAAGUGAAAGAUGGUUUUGCUAUCACUUAUAGAUGGACCCGCGCCGUAUUAGCUAGUUGGUAAGGUAACGGCUUACCAAGGCAACGAUACGUAGCCGACCUGAGAGGGUGAUCGGCCACACUGGAACUGAGACACGGUCCAGACUCCUACGGGAGGCAGCAGUAGGGAAUCUUCCGCAAUGGGCGAAAGCCUGACGGAGCAACGCCGCGUGAGUGAUGAAGGUCUUCGGAUCGUAAAACUCUGUUAUUAGGGAAGAACAAAUGUGUAAGUAACUGUGCACGUCUUGACGGUACCUAAUCAGAAAGCCACGGCUAACUACGUGCCAGCAGCCGCGGUAAUACGUAGGUGGCAAGCGUUAUCCGGAAUUAUUGGGCGUAAAGCGCGCGUAGGCGGUUUCUUAAGUCUGAUGUGAAAGCCCACGGCUCAACCGUGGAGGGUCAUUGGAAACUGGGAAACUUGAGUGCAGAAGAGGAAAGUGGAAUUCCAUGUGUAGCGGUGAAAUGCGCAGAGAUAUGGAGGAACACCAGUGGCGAAGGCGACUUUCUGGUCUGUAACUGACGCUGAUGUGCGAAAGCGUGGGGAUCAAACAGGAUUAGAUACCCUGGUAGUCCACGCCGUAAACGAUGAGUGCUAAGUGUUAGGGGGUUUCCGCCCCUUAGUGCUGCAGCUAACGCAUUAAG
Molecule: ribosomal RNA, 800 nt
Filed under: Staphylococcus sp. L7-1
Lineage: Bacteria; Bacillati; Bacillota; Bacilli; Caryophanales; Staphylococcaceae
Description: bacterial SSU rRNA
Rfam family: Bacterial small subunit ribosomal RNA
Source: RNAcentral